This 390-nucleotide ribosomal RNA is filed under the name uncultured bacterium. Its description in RNAcentral is "bacterial SSU rRNA". It matches the Rfam family "Bacterial small subunit ribosomal RNA", at positions 32 to 399 of the family's 1533-position model. The record is from RNAcentral.
AAUCAACGCUGGCGGCGUGCCUCAGACAUGCAAGUCGAACGCGAAAGUUCCCUUCGGGGGAUGAGUAGAGUGGCGCACGGGUGAGUAACACGUAGGUAAUCUACCUUCGGAUGGGGAAGUAACAACCGGAAACGGUUGCUAAUACCGCAUAAUGCAGCGGCACCUAAUGGUGACAGUUGUUAAAGCGGGGGAGUCGAAAGACCUCGCGUCUGAAGAGGAGCCUGCGGCGGAUUAGCUAGUUGGUAGGGUAACGGCCUACCAAGGCUACGAUCCGUAGCCGGCCUGAGAGGGCGGUCGGCCACACUGACACUGACAUACGGGUCAGACUCCUACGGGAGGCAGCAGUCGGGAAUUUUGGGCAAUGGGCGAAAGCCUGACCCAGCAACGCCG